AGUCACUGACAUUAGAUACCCGCGUAGUCCCAGCCGUAAACAAUGUGCGUUAGGUGUGUCGGUAACCACGCGUUACUGAUGCGCCGAAGAGAAAUCGUGAAACGCACCACCUGGGAAGUACGGUCGCAAGGCUGAAACUUAAAGGAAUUGGCGGGGAGCACCACAACAGGUGGAGCCUGCGGUUUAAUUUGAUUCAACGCCGGACAUCUCACCGGAUAAGACAGCUGAAUGAUUGUCAAUCUGAAGGUUUUACAUGACUAGCUG
RNAcentral lists this ribosomal RNA (264 nucleotides) under uncultured archaeon. RNAcentral's name for it is "partial 16S ribosomal RNA". It matches the Rfam family "Archaeal small subunit ribosomal RNA", at positions 716 to 982 of the family's 1478-position model. The record is from RNAcentral.